This 309-nucleotide ribosomal RNA is filed under the name uncultured bacterium. RNAcentral describes it as "bacterial SSU rRNA". It matches the Rfam family "Bacterial small subunit ribosomal RNA", at positions 28 to 334 of the family's 1533-position model. The record is from RNAcentral.
GACGAACGCUGGCGGCACGCUUAACACAUGCAAGUCGAACGGACGAGAGAGAGCUUGCUCUCUCAAGUUAGUGGCGGACGGGUGAGUAACACGUGAGCAACCUGCCUUUAAGAGUGGGAUAACGGUCGGAAACGACCGCUAAUACCGCAUAAUAUACUUGUAUCGCAUGGUAUGGGUAUCAAAGAUUUAUCGCUUAAAGAUGGGCUCGCGUCUGAUUAGCUGGUUGGUGAGGUAACGGCUCACCAAGGCGACGAUCAGUAGCCGUACUGAGAGGUAGAACGGCCACAUUGGGACUGAGACACGGCCCAG